This 2938-nucleotide long non-coding RNA is filed under the name Canis lupus familiaris (dog). RNAcentral describes it as "lncRNA (ENSCAFG00000055544.1)". Lineage: Eukaryota; Metazoa; Chordata; Mammalia; Carnivora; Canidae. The record is from RNAcentral.
GGAAUUACCUGCAGGUAGGACAGGGACAGAAGAGCCCAGACCCUGGGGGAGAGGUGCCCCAAACCUACCCUGGACUAGCAUGUAGUGGCAAAAUAAACCAUUGUUGCGUUAAGCCUUUACAGUAGCCGAUGUUCCUUUAUUUAAUUUCCCUGACACCCCGCCCCCCUGCAAGGUGUCCUUUUGGUAUUGCCUCUGAAAUCUAUUUGGAAUAUCCUCAGUGUUACCAAACCAUUAUUCCUUGAAUAUGAAUAGAUUCAUUGAUGUAAGUCAGUUCAACAAAUAUGUGUUGAGCACCUAGUAUGCUCAGGAUAGAAUGACCAGGCCUGGGACAGAUAGCAAGCUAAGUGAUACCCUAGGGCACACAGGAACACCUCUGCAGCCACCUAUGCCUCUGAAGCCGAGUGGAAGGCAUGGCUGGGAAGACACCAAGAAGACUUGAGUCUUAAGUCAUAAAGUUGUUUCCUUGGAAACCACCGUACUGAAAUGAAAGUACCUGCUAUCCUGGUGACUGGAACCACAUGUAAAAUCCAUGGCCAAACCAUGUCAAUGAGCCUUAUUUUCUGCCUGAGGAGUCCCACUCCCUAGCUGUGGAUGGGGGGGUGGGGGGGUGAUGAGACCACCUGAGAGGUGGUGUGGUCUGCAAGGAGACACGAUGGGCUUGAGACUUCCUGUCUCAGGAGGUGAUCUUCAGGUUGAGUUGUUCAGUUGUUGAGUGUCUCUUGAUAAGCAAGUGCCCCAGACCAACCCUGGACCCUUGUGUGCCUCCAUUUCCCAGGAAAGACCCAAAGAAGAGGAAAAACCCCUUUCUUUUGCAUCCCCAGGUCGCAUAAGGAUAAGGAAGGAUUGCCUGGUGAGGGCCUUGUGCUCAGAAGUUUUGUUGUGAUAAAUAAAUCAUGCUGAGUAUUGACACCAUUAUUGAUGAUGGCUGGGCUCCCAUAGCACUCACCUAAUUGCUUUUCUAAAAUUCCUCCCCAAAAGGGCAUAUUUGGUAAAAAGCAAAAAGAUAAAGCUAAUGGAGAAAUGGAGGAAUAUGAAGACCGCCCCAUUGGGAUAAAUCCAGGAGUUUACACCAGUAAUCUGAUAGUAAGGGCCCAAAUACCUGAUUGAUUUUAGAUCCUGUUCCAGACACUGCCCACGGCAGCCCCUGCAGCCCUGACAGCUGGACUCAUCAAUGCAGCUAAACAAAUACACUGCCUGGUACGGUAUGAUCUAUAAUCUCGCUUUAUAUCUCUUAUUUCCAUUCUGGACACUACGCACAAAUUCCAUUACCUUACGCUCUCCUCAGAGAUAGACUGAGUUUGUCUGGGGUCCAGUUUCAUCAUUCCUAUAUAAUAUACAAGAAAGGAUCAGAUGGACUUUACAAUACGUUCCAGCCCAAGUGUUCUUCAUAAAGCCAAUCAUAAAGCUCAUGGCUUUCAUGCCUUAUCACCUUCCAUCCUCACAACUACCCUCGAUCACAAGCACUCUUUUCAUUCCCGUCUUACAGAUGGGGGAUCUAUGGUGCGGAAAGGUGAAGUCAAAUCCUGUGUCUUUCUGAUUCCAGGGUUCGAAUUCUUAGCUAUCAUGCUGAAUAUUGCCUGUGAUAGUUCAUUUUAUGUGUCCACGUGACUGGGUCACAAGACGGCCAGACUCUGGUUAAGUGUUGCCUGGGCUGUCCCUGUGAAGGUUUUUCCAGAAGACAUUAGCAUCUGAAUCCAUAGCCUCAUGGAAGCAGAUUGCCCUCCCCAGUGUGGGUGGGCCUCAUCCAUCUGCUGGAUUAGAUAGAACAAAUAGAUCAACUGUUGUCCCAAAUAGAACAAAAAGGUGGAGGAACAGGGAGCUCUCCAUCUCUCCCUGUCUGACUCUUAAGCUUGAUCUUCUCCUGUCUUGGGACUUGGACCAGAACUGACACCACUGGUUUCUCUCAUUGUCAGGCCUCUGGACUCACACUGGAGUUGCACUCUCAACUCUCCUGGGUCUCUGCUCUUGCACAUGGACUGUGAAACUUCUCAGCCCCCAUAAUCACAUGAACCGAUUCUUCAUAAUAAAUCUCUAAUUAGAUACACAUACAGAUGUAAAUUGAUCCUGUUGGUUCUGUGUCUCUGGAGAACCCUGACUAAUACACUGCCUCUCAAGCAAAACUCAUCCUUUGUGGUUCUUUUUUCUAAGAUGAGGAUGUCUUAAUAAAUGGAUAAAAGCUUUUUAAAAAGAGAGAGAGAAUUGGGAAAAGAAAUUCCCUAGGCUGAGGAUGAUGAAAUGAGGGGCACCUGGGUGGCUCAGUUGGUUAGGCAUCUGCCUUUGGCUCAGGUCAUCAUCCUGGGGUCCUGGGUUCGAGCCCUGUGUCAGUCUCCAUGCUCAGCUGAGCGUCAGCUUCUCCAGAGCUCUGCCCCUUCCCAUCACUUGUACUCUCUCUUUUUUCUUUCUCAAAUAAAUAAAUAGAAGCUUUAAAAAAAAGGCGGGGAGGGUGAUGAAAUUAGAAGUUGGAUUGACAGUAGUGUCACCACUGACCUAGUCAACAUCAGCUGCUACGAUGUUAAACAGCUUCAACAUAAGUUCAUAACUUUUAGCAGUGAAAUUCUGAGUUAAGAUGGCUUUACAGAAUUUCUCUUCCCAAUUCUCUCUCUCUUUUUAAAAAGAUUUUAUCCAUUUAUUUGAGAGAGAGAAUGAGCAUGAGAGAGAGCACAGGAACGGGGACCAAGGGAGAGGGCCAAGCAGACUCCCCCAUGAGCAGGGACCCUGAGUCAGGGCUCAAUCUCAGGACCCUGGGAUCAUGACCUGAGCCAAAGGCAGAUGCUUAGGUGAUUGAGCCACCCAGGACCCCUCUCUUCCCAAUUUUCCCAAUUCUCAACACAAGCAAGGGAAAAAAAUUAAACUGGCAAAAAAAAAAAAAAAAAAAGGAAUAUUCCAAAUAGCAACCAAGGAGGAAAUGAGUAUAACUCAAAAAAAAAAAAAAAAAAAA